This 946-nucleotide long non-coding RNA is filed under the name Ixodes scapularis (black-legged tick). RNAcentral's name for it is "uncharacterized LOC115320649, transcript variant X4". Lineage: Eukaryota; Metazoa; Arthropoda; Arachnida; Ixodida; Ixodidae. The record is from RNAcentral.
GCUGGCUCUGAACGACGGGCAACCGUGAGCACCCCAGGAGCUACUAUCGCCCGAAGAUGUCACAGGUGGUCAUGAUUCUUUGAGGCAGCGGAAUUUCACCGCAGUGCAUCUUUAACACCUUCAGUUUCUUUUCUACUGCAAGCCUGGUACUACAGCUUGUGGCCCGUGUAGAAGAAUAGAGGGGUGAAACCAAGGCUCAAGUGACUGUGGACUCAUGGCCCUCAGACAGCUAGAGCACCAGACCAGGCACAGACCAGAGCCAUUUAUGCUCCACUUCUAGAGGACAUGUUGCAGUUUGAAACUACCAAGACUCAUGGAAGCUGCUGACAGGAGGCUGUUGAAGCCGUGGUCGCAAGGCACCCAUGACAUUGAAGUCUUCCAAACAAGGCACUAUGAAGGCAUGACUUGUAGCGGCACUGGAGCAAGCGACACGGUCCGGGUGAGCCGCAAGUGUAACUGUUACACUGUAAACAGGAAAUAUAGACAUGUGUCCGACAAAGCACAGACUCAUAAAACUUUCAUGUAGCAAUAAUAGUUUAAUUUAACUAAACAGUGCAUCAACAGAGCCUGACCCAAGAAUGGGGAAUUGGGGAACCGGCCAAUGUGUAGAGUCUAACAGAAACAAGGAAGGCGAUAAAAACAAAUGGGGCAACAUGUUAAGAUAGGACAAUAAUGUCGUGCCUAUUUUUUGUUUUCAAUUAAGAUUUUAUAGGAGCUAGCAAAAUAUGUCCUUGCAAUGGAAUAGACCUACUUUUACAAAAAGACCUUCAAUGUUUUUGUUAAAAUAAAUUGCGUCUGAGGAGGUGGAAAUAUGAUUUUCCCAAUUGCGCAUUAACAUAUCUUCGAGCUCCACAGGGUAAUAAAACUUCCCGAAACGUAAAUAUUUUUAUGCAUGCUCAGAAGUUUUUUUAAAUAUAGAAAAAGUCAAACAAUUUUUUUGUGAGAA